UCCCUGGUGGUCCAGUGGUUAGGAUUUGGCACUUUCACUGCCGAGGCCCCGGGUUCAAUCCCCGGUUGGGGAA
Molecule: non-coding RNA, 73 nt
Organism: Balaenoptera ricei (Rice's whale)
Lineage: Eukaryota; Metazoa; Chordata; Mammalia; Artiodactyla; Balaenopteridae
Source: the annotation of a RefSeq genome assembly